Myotis lucifugus (little brown bat) is the source of this 2987-nucleotide long non-coding RNA. RefSeq lists it as uncharacterized. The transcript is spliced from 2 exons. The record is from RefSeq and is a predicted model, not a curated record. Lineage: Eukaryota; Metazoa; Chordata; Mammalia; Chiroptera; Vespertilionidae.
UCUCAUGGAGCUGCUGUCCCCUCUCUGCCCACCAGGUACCGGUGUCCUCACCCACCUACAAAAGUAUGCAGACUUGUAGUUUAGGCUUUUCUUUUUUGGUGCUAAUUUUUGUCUCUCUCUGCGUGACCUACCGCCUCUUUGUGACUCACAGGGCCUUGACCUUGAGCGCAGACUCUGAAUCCCAUUCAUCUUUGUCUGACCUCCUCCAAGCCUGAAAAUCAAGUCUAAGUCUUGACACCGUGAUCUCUCCAAAGACCCAUUUCAUAUUUGCAGCUUAACCAGCUCAGUGAAUGAAGUAACUGGAAUUUCCUGCUGGCCCAAAGCGGAGGAACUUGCAGUGUGAUGUUCAUGUGGCUUCUCCCCUUUUCAGUACGCGGACUUGAUCGUAAUCCUUAGUGUAAAGAGUAAAUGGAAGCCGGUUGAUGGAUUGUAGGGUGGGAGGGGAGAUGUUGGUGUAACCCACUUGGAGAUGUCAGCAGCUGUGGAGGAAAUGCUGUCUCUCUUAGAACCACUUCAUAUGCAGCCUGGAAUAGCUGGUUUUCCUGCUGGAAAAGCUUAGCUCUACUUGAACUACCUGACAACCAGGAGAGUUCAAGUUUACAGUCCUUAUUUAAUGCGAGGGAGAUUGCCUGCUAGAAUACAUCUUUCUUUAAGCUGUGAAGUUAUGGUGCGAUGGUUUUACAUUUUAUAAUUCGUCUCUUUGAUUGUGCUGUCAACACUUUCUUAUAAGUUGUGGAUAGUUCCCAACCAGGGAGAGUCUUCCCGCCCCCCAACUUCAACCAAAAAAAAAGGGGGGGGGGAAUCAAAGUGGUCUCAUAAAGUUGUUGGACAUAAGCAGAAUAUUUCUGCUUAAUGUGAAUAAUGAUCUCAUGCAUCAGGAUAUACUGUCCUAGUGGAAUGUCACGGUCAUCUCGGUAAUCACUAGUUGCUUCUAUGCUUUUUCUGUGUCGAGUGUCUGUGUGUGGGUGAAAGAGAAUUUCACCCUUGAGGAAUGAUGUGAUGAGGCAGAUCUACUAGGUAAACUGAUCUAUUGUGGGAAUUAAGAAACAAGAAAAAAACUCCCUGACGGUCAUGAACUCCUCCUGCGCUAGUUUUGUUUUACAUUUAAACAUAUCACUUUUCACCAAUAGCCAAAAUCCCCUAAAUUCCCUAAAUCAACCAAGGUUGUCCUAAGGGACUGUAAUAACUCUUUUGAAAACUUUUCACAAGUUUUAAAAUCUUCUGAACCUUAAAUGACUUUGCUUUCAUACUAGAAAACCUGGCUCAUCAUUUUUUUUUUUUAUGACCAAGGAAGAAGGCUUUUAUUGAAUGUAAUUAUGUCUGAGAGUAGAAGUCCGUGUACAGAGAAGAGAGUUGAACUAUGAAGACAUUAGUUUUUGUGGUUUUUCACCUUCACACACUUUUUAUAUGCGAACAAGCAGUGAGACACCUAUGUAUUCAUUUCAUUUAGCUUCUGUUAGGAUUCUUCUUAAAAGGUGCGCCAACUCCUGUUCCUGUAAAAGCUACAUUUUAAAAAGUCAUUUUGGUACUUUUUAGGCAGGUCUUCAGAAGAACAUACUUCAUUGGAAUGGACAUGUAGACAUGAGUUGGAGUUAUCUGUAAUGGCCAUCAAUUUCAUGAACUCUUUUUAAAAAAUUGCAUUUUUCAGUUUCAGUUUACAUUCAGUAUUAUUUUGUAUUAGUUUCAGGUGUAUAUUUCAUAAGUUCUUAACAAGAGAGGAAGUCGAAUCUGAGAGAGUUGAGGUGAUUUGCCCCAGGUUGUGUGGUUAGAGUGGGUCAUCUGCUGUCCCACUGUUUAUGAUCAUGUGGAAAUGGGAAACAAAGUUCAAAUGCAUUUAAUAAACAGGCCCAAGGAUAACUCUGUUAAUUUCACUCCUUCGUGUCAGAUAAAACUUUUUAAUGAGUCUCCCAAGGAGCAAGUAGCAAAACUGAGCAGCUUACGGAAGCCAGAGUGCAGCAGGAGACUUCAUAUUUCACUACUUGAUGGGUUUCUACCAAUAAUAAAGGGAAUGAACCUUCUGUGUAAGGUGCUUGUCCGAGUUUUAAAGACAGAGGAGACUUCACUUCCAGGAACAGGUUGCGGGUUGUUUUUGUGCCUCCCUGCUGAUAAAUGUUUGUAUUUCUGGUGAAACUGGCACAAGACUUGCUUUUAUUGAAACAUACCACAUACUAGGGAGGAUGUUGGUGCAGGAAUAUGGUCUCCACCCUCCUCUCAUCCCCAGAAGGUCCCUAAAUGUAUUAACAGAAACUGACAGCUGAGCAGAGGCACCUCAGGUUAGGGAGGCCUUGUGAGAUGAAGCAGUGUGCCCCAUACUUGCUUGACCUUAAGAAUGGCCUGGAACGCGUUUUAAAGUUACGGGUUCCCAGACCCUUCCAAAGCCCUUGCUAGAGUGUCCAGUGUGUUUAACAAGUGCAGCCACUGUGUUUUUCAAGCUCUCUGAGAAGUAUUGAAAUAAACGGGAAAGCUCAUUGACUUGAGAAUCUGGAGCCUUGAGUCUGGCUUCACCUCUGCCAUUUUCUAAUGCAGAUUUUGAGCAAUUUAUUCACCACCAUCAGGCCUUAGUUUCCUUAUAUGUAAAAUAGAGACUUUGACUAAAUUUACCUCUAUUGGCGUUUUCACUUUUGGCAUUUAAUAAUUCUAAUGAGGGGUUACUAUUUGAUAACAACAGUAGCUCAAGUGGCCUUGUAUGGAUAUGACUUUGAUUAAUAAUCCUUCUCUGAUUACUGUGAUUAGGAAUUAAAAAAAAUCUUUGUGGCCUGGCCAUGAUGGUUGAGCAUCAACCUAUGAACCAGUAGGUCGAAGUUGGAUUCCCAGUCAGGGCACAUAACCGGGUUGCGGACUCUAUCCUCAGGGUGGGAUGUGCAGGAGGCAGCCAAUCAAUGAUUUUCUCUCAUCAUUGAUGUCUCUCUCUCUCUCCCUUUCCCUUCCUCUCUCAGAAAUCAAUUCAUAUAAAAAUCUUUGUGCCUGAAAUAAACUCAUUAUGACUA